RNAcentral lists this long non-coding RNA (3938 nucleotides) under Mus musculus (house mouse). RNAcentral's name for it is "long non-coding RNA chr16:41111437-41115375". The record is from RNAcentral. Lineage: Eukaryota; Metazoa; Chordata; Mammalia; Rodentia; Muridae.
UAAGAAAACAUUAGAUGUUGAGGGAUGGAAGUACCUAAAAUCUUCAUAACACUGGAGUAUUGAAAAUUCAGCAGCCAUUUUAGAAAAUUGGUUGUGUCUUGUAGAGCAAAAUAUGAACUCACUAGAAGACUAGUGUAAAUGUUUUCUCUGUCACCUACAGUUAUCCAAAGAACCCAGAUACCCUUUCAUGGGUAGAGAUAGACUUAGUGCUCUCUUAUUUAUAGAAGCUGAUCCCUUAGUCUCUGUCCUUACACCAUCUUAAGGCUUCUAAUCAUGGCAGUGGGAAUGCACUGAUAACUGCCUAGAGAAUCUUGUCAAAAGAUGUUCAUCUGAUGCCUCCUCAAUGACCUGAGACUGAAAGGUGCAACACUUGAAACACUCUGACUCCUUUAAUACUUCAAGCUUCAGCUCAGGAAGGCUCUGAUUCUGUGUCUAUUACUAUUGUCCUGGAUGUCAUGAUCACACAGGUGACUCUGUCAGGCAAACAGAGGCAUGAUAAAAGCUAGAAGGUACAUGUAAGCUGAAUAUCAGGAAACAUGAAAGACUCAGAAUGAAGUAGGAGAGGAUGGGGGCAGGGAGGAAGAUUCUGGCAGGUGCAACCUCACACAUUCUAAUAGACACAAAGGAGCAGAACAAAAGGAAAAAUGAGGCUGAUUUGUUACCCAGUCCAGUAGAUAUUUCGAUUAUGAUUUCCAAAAUGAGCACAUGGCUUCUUCCUGCAGAAUUUCCCUGUUUGUAACAGUACCACUUCGCUCUUUUCCUUCACCAGUUCCACCCAUACCUUUAAGCUCCAUUUUGUUGAUUUCUGAUUAUUUCUGCAAUUUAGCAAUGUCAUUUUAAAUUCAAAUAACAUUCUCCAGAGUGCUGCCCUUUGUGAACUUUCUGAGUUUCAUUUGCAAGUUUGGGAAUAAACUCUCUAUUACCAUUUCACGGUAGGAAAUUUUGAGCAUGCAGUCUGAAAUGCAUAAUAAAAUUCCCUAAACAAUUUCAAGGCUUCACAAACAUAAAGAAUAAUCAAAGACACCGAAUCCUCUUGAUUUAAGACUUAGAUUUUUUUCAUAAGACAUUUACUUCUAUACAUAGUUAUUUGCACAGUGGCAGAAGGAAUUCUAACAACCAAAUAGAAUGGUAAAGGAAAUGUCAUUUAGUGUCAAGAUAGGGUUAGAGAGGCAGAAUCCUUUGGUAAUUAACAAAUAAAGAACAAUGUAUGUGGUCGUCAAAUUUAUUCAGAGGUGUUUGUUAAAUAUCAGGUCAAAAUUCUGAACUCAAGAUUGUACUUUAUUGCAAUAUGUAAACAGUUUCAUGAAGUACAAUGUAUUUUAAAGAUGGGAAAUAUUUUAAUUUACAUCUGAUAUUUAAAAUGGUUUCUCAAUGGAGGAGCAUGUGUUUGGUGGACUCAGACUACUGGCUCAAUUUGUUAGAUUUACAAUGGUUUUAAACGAAAAGUAAGAUUGUCUCAUUCAAUCAGAUUUCGUACUGAUAGACAAGACAUACUUUUUCCCAUUUCACCUCAUAUGCUAUAAAAAGGCACUAUUCCCAAUAAAACCCCUCCAUUUAGCGCUAUCUAAACCUCUUUUCAUGGACAUUUUGUUGUCAGAGCAUGUGGUAUCUACUCAGUUUAGAAACAAGGCCAUAUGAUCAUUAUUUCCACUGACUAUACAGAAUAUUCAAAUUAAUGCCAUUGAACAACUUUGCAAAACAAAAAUCAGAUGCUCUAAAGGAUUCCUAGACCUUUUCUCUGCCCAUGAAGCAUGCUCCUUGAUUCAUUAGUUAAUAUUAUCCUGCUGAUCAAAAAUGCAAUAAAGUAUUAGCCCUCAACAGAUAAAACACUAUUAUAAAAUAUUACCCAUAAAAGUGAUAUAUAUGGAUAUGACACUCCUUUGGUUAGUAAUGGUAGUUGUAACAGCUAACAUCUAUUCAUUGUGAUCUGUCAGGCAAUGUUCUAAGUGACAUGCAUAUUCAUUUAAUCUUCAGAGUAAGCUCAGUUUAUAGGGCAGCAGAGAGAGGUAAUUGCUUUCCCAGGCAGUAUGCACAGAGUUUGGACCUGGCUGGCUGCACCUGGAGUCCAUGCUUAGUCUCUUAGGUGUGCUGUGGGUUCUGGCUUUCAGAAGGCAAUAUCUGUUUUCUUAAAAAGAACACAAGUAAGAGUUAAUAAAAACUGGACAUAUAUUAGCCCCAAAGUGUCAGUCUUACCCCUGAGUUUGUUAGGCAGAUUAUCUACCACUGAGCUGCACACCUUUAUGUAUGUCAAAGUUUGAGUAUAAAUGUGGAAACACUGGAGAAGUGACAGAGUACAUGGAGAAGUUAUAGCCAUCUCUUCAUGGCACACAUAGUGAGAAUGUUGCUGAUGGGGAUAUGAGUAAAGAUUCCAGUUCGCUAUUCCAGUAAGUAUUAUAACACAUAAGUGACAGAAAAUAAGGACAAAUGAAAAUUCUCUUAUAAGAAUUAAUUGCCCCUCCACUAUUACCUUUAAUGAAUAUAUUUUUAAGUAUGUACAUUCAAUUAUAACUAUCAAGUUAUACCAUAGAGUGGUGUAACAGACUAUAUGUGUCCUCUUUAAACUGAUAUUUGAAAUCUUAUGCCACCAUUUAAAAUUAUUUGGAGUUGGGAGCUUAUAGAAAGAUAUUAGUCAUAAAUUAAGAGUUCAUGUGAUUGGCCAAGGACAAGGAAAUGGGCUUCAGGCAGGAAUCUGACAUUGGGCCAUGACAAGGAAGUAAGCUCAGGCAGGAAUCUUAAGUUUAGGCUAGAACAGGGAAGUAAGUUCAGGUAAGAAUCUAAUUUUAGGCUAGAACAAAGAAGGCAUGAAUAUGACUUUGGACUAGGACAGGGAAGUAGGCUCAGAAAUCCCAGUCAUCCAGGAGGGACCAGAGGACCUUGUUUAUUGUCUUGCUUGUUCUUUGACUAUUUGUAUUUAUUGUACUGCUUGACCUUAUUACUUGCAUGUAAUUAAAACUGUAUAAAAGCAGAUUGGGAAAAAAUAAACCCGCCUCAGCCUCCGAACUUACUGGGGUCGAGCAUAGUAAAAGAAGCCUAGACAGUUCUCUUCCCUUCCAUGCUGUGAGAUUUUGUUAUAAAACGGACAGCAGGGUGCAACCUGAGCAGGCCCUUACCAGAGCCUGACCAAGACAGCAGCCAGACCUCAGACCUGCAUCCUUUAGAAUCAAGGAAAAUGCAUUUAUAUGAUUUAAUAGUCACUAUGUUUGCUUGAAAGAGCUGAGGAAGAAGGCUUUACUCUAAUUACAUGGUUCUCUUUUGUAGAAUAUCUCCAUGUUUCUAAGUGUUUGUUCUUUUGGGUAAUAGUAUAAUCAAUAUCUUCAUAUAUGAACAUUAAUCAAUAGACCAUUUGUUGAAUUCUUACAAAUGUAGUUGCUCAUUAAAGAAGGUAGUCUUUCUUAGAGCACUGGGAUAUUUUGAAAGAUGCACUUUAUUGAGCCCUGAUUUCUUCUUUUCCUACUGAAAAUAAAAAAAAAAAAAUCUCAGGACUAUAGCCCUAUCAGUUGGUUAGGUUGAAGAACACUAGACUGACUUUCAAAUCUUACUUGUCAUGAGAAAGUUAUUUCCUACCAACUUUUCAAAGUCAGUUGCAAUGACCGGUCUCCACCUAUUUUCUUUUCCAGGGAGAUUACCUGUGGAAAUCCAAUACAAAACUUUAAACAAACAUCUGAGAAACCUAUUAUUCCUGGCUAAGCACUGACAUCAUAUUUUAGAUUGUUUGAUAUAAGAAUUACUUACAUUUUUUUCUCUGAGUAUCCACUGAAAAUUUGAACAAGAAUUUCAUGGCCUCUGGGUAAAUAAGAAAGGUAAUUUGUGUCAAUACUUCCCAAGAUUCUUUCUGACCAUUUGACACCAUGGACUUAUGGAAAAUACCCUAUUACAUGAUGUAAGCCUUUGUAAUUGGAUCAAAUGGUGCUAUUUCAUAGAUUAGAAAUUUGAAAUGA